GCCGUGUGUCGCCAUGCUGGGGGCGGCACCGGGCGGCGGGACGGGCACGGGGACGGAGCGUGAGGGCCGUCUCCACGCGCCGGGACUCUGCUCCCCUCAGCAGCCGCCGCCUCACGCACCCCGAAGGCCCCCCCGCCAAGGGGUCGCGGCCGGCUGAGGAAAGCUCCCCUUGUUAUCCCUAAGAGCUGUGCCCGGACAGGGACUGACCCCAAGUGCUGGCCCUGUGAAUUGUUCCCCUGGGGAUAACAGGCUCCGUUUGCUCACCACGGAACAAUUCGAGGCAAAAUAUUGCUUUGUUCUUCACCGGUACGUGAUGCUGAGUGUCGUGUGCCUUGAAUGUGUACAAGCGUGAUUCCUGCCAUCAGUCAUCCGGGCUGGCAGUUCAGUUUGCAAAAAGAGGUACCACCGCUUGGGAUGGAGGAGGAGGUUACCAACACUAACUACUCAUUCCCGCACCAGUUUCCUGGAUGGCUGAGCCACUUUAUUGGCCAUUUUGUACAGGAAGAAAUACGUGGAAAUAAUUUACUUGAAGAAAUGGCAAUUUGUGCUGUGCAUUCCACUACAUCUGCUAUGAAGUAGUACGAUAAGAAAUACACUUUAGUCUAACAGUUCUAAUGGUUCAGAGUGCUAGACCAUGAAUCCCUUCUGCACCUAGAGAGGCAUUUGUCUUUACAAAAAGCUCUAUCUGAACAAUUCAUGACGGUUAAUAAAGAAAGCACUUCAAGUCCUGACACACUGAGUAUUACACAGGUAAAUCAGUCUUCAGAAGCUGAUUGGAGACAAGUUCUUUCACAGCAUACAUCUUUCAUUAGCGGUACUAAUUGCUUGAAUGCUUGACAUCUACCGAAAGAGAUGAGUAAAAGGAAAACAGAGUUACAGAAACAAUAACAAAAUGACAUAUGUAGGAAUGACAGCAGGUGGUAGAGCCAUGUGACAUUAGAUUUGCCAAGUACAAUUUGUAUUCUCUCAGGUUCUGUAUUUUCUGUCAAAUAUUACCUUAAAUUCUCAGAAUCCAGGAGAAAAAAAAUACUUUUGUCUUCAUUUUUGCACGGUAUGUGGUAAUAUUUUCAACUAAUAGUUUUAAGUAUUGUUCUUUUAAUAUAUUAUAUCCUCCUACUUACAGUCUGCUACUAAUAAGCCUAAUAAUAAGAAACAAAAACAUACCAGAUAGCUAUUCAAAGGGCUUUUAAGCACAGCUGCUUGGGCAGUCAUGCUUGCGCUGCAGUGACUUCUUGCAACAAGUCAAAGGGACAGUAACGACUUCUAAGUAUAAUAAAAGCAAGGUGCACUAGUAUAUGUAUCAAGGUAAUACUUCAUUAAUGAGUGCACAGUGAAGAAUAUAAAAGCACGUAGCUGUA
This is a long non-coding RNA of Cygnus olor (mute swan), 1358 nucleotides long. RefSeq lists it as uncharacterized. The transcript has 4 exons. The record is from RefSeq and is a predicted model, not a curated record. Lineage: Eukaryota; Metazoa; Chordata; Aves; Anseriformes; Anatidae.